GAUGAGGUCAGCUAACUAAGCUAUCGGGCCCAUACCCCGAACAUGACGGUUAAAACCCCUCCCCCAUCA
This 69-nucleotide transfer RNA is filed under the name Danio albolineatus (pearl danio). Its description in RNAcentral is "tRNA-Met". It matches the Rfam family "tRNA". Rfam says of the family: Transfer RNA (tRNA) molecules are approximately 80 nucleotides in length. Their secondary structure includes four short double-helical elements and three loops (D, anti-codon, and T loops). Further hydrogen bonds mediate the characteristic L-shaped molecular structure. tRNAs have two regions of fundamental functional importance: the anti-codon, which is responsible for specific mRNA codon recognition, and the 3' end, to which the tRNAs corresponding amino acid is attached (by aminoacyl-tRNA synthetases). tRNAs cope with the degeneracy of the genetic code in two manners: having more than one tRNA (with a specific anti-codon) for a particular amino acid; and 'wobble' base-pairing, i.e. permitting non-standard base-pairing at the 3rd anti-codon position. The record is from RNAcentral. RNAcentral also lists the same sequence under 1 other name. Lineage: Eukaryota; Metazoa; Chordata; Actinopteri; Cypriniformes; Danionidae.